CAAUAGCGUAUAUUAAAGCUGUUGCGGUUAAAAAGCUCGUAGUUGGAUUUCUGUCAAGUACAACUGGUCCGCCCUCCGGGUGAGCACAUAGUUUGGUCUUGGCAUCUUGCUGGAAAUUGUUGCUGCACUUGGCUGUGUGGCGCAGUGUCCAGCACUUUCACUUUGAGGAAAUUGGAGUGUUUCAAGCAGGCAAUGCCUUUGAACACAGUAGCAUGGAAUAAUUAGAUUGGGCUUUUGCUCCAAUUUGUCGGUUUCUGGAGCUGAGGUGAGAAUUAAUGGGGAUUGUUGGGGGCAUCCGAAUUUAUCCGUCAGAGGUGAAAUUCUUGGAUCGGCUAAAGACGGACAACUGCGAAAGCGUUUGCCCAGGAUGUUUUCAUUGA
Molecule: ribosomal RNA, 380 nt
Filed under: uncultured eukaryote
Lineage: Eukaryota
Description: partial 18S ribosomal RNA
Rfam family: Eukaryotic small subunit ribosomal RNA
Source: RNAcentral